Molecule: long non-coding RNA, 675 nt
Filed under: Coffea arabica (coffee)
Lineage: Eukaryota; Viridiplantae; Streptophyta; Magnoliopsida; Gentianales; Rubiaceae
Description: long non-coding RNA (CARA_LNC000507)
Source: RNAcentral
AAUUAAGGUGCUGGAGGAAAUUUCUAAUAUUUCACCUGCAAGAUCAGAAAUUUAUGCAUAUUAGAUAAAUAAAAAAAAAAUUUCAAAAAAAGAGAGCUAGAGCUGGAGAAGAGAGAAGCUACUGAGAGGAGGAGAAGAAAGAGAGGGACGGCAGAAGUCGAGAGAGGAUAGUAAAAUUUUGUAACCCUAGACAUUUUGUAACAAAAAAUCGAAGAGAGAUUGGUGUGAUUUGACAUGGGCCGCUGUUUGCAAGAGUUGCUCACCUGCUCUCUGACAACAUAGGAAGAAGCAACAAAGAGAAAUAGAAGAGAAGAAUUGAAGGUGAAAUAAGGGCGACUAAACUUGCCAAAAAUUAAGUACAAAGGAAGUCGGAGAAGCAACCAUUUUCAUCAAUACCAUCACAUUGAACUGUAAAACGAGGAAUAAUCUCGGAGAAGCAAAGUACAGUGCAGUCAAACAGGACUAAGGAAAGACGGGGCUUCGAAGUGGGAAGACGUGUACGGAGUGGGAGCAGCCUCAGGAUGUGGAGGAAACACAGCAGCAGAGAGGAGAGGGAAAAUGAGUGCAGAAAGAGCUAAAACUUGGAGUGGAAAGAAGAGUGCAGAAGGAGGAAAAACUUCGAGUGGGUGGAGCCGGUAUAGCAGAGACUGACGAACUGGCAGAAAGGUUGCUGAC